UUGAUUUUAAUUAUUUGUGAGGGUACUACUAAUUAACAACAAUUUUAUAAUCAAAACAAAAAAGAUCA
RNAcentral lists this unclassified non-coding RNA (68 nucleotides) under soil metagenome. RNAcentral describes it as "partial internal transcribed spacer 1". The record is from RNAcentral.